GAUGAACGCUGGCGGCGUGCCUAAUACAUGCAAGUCGAGCGAACAGACGAGGAGCUUGCUCCUCUGUCGUUAGCGGCGGACGGGUGAGUAACACGUGACUAACCUACCUAUAAGACUGGGAUCACUUCGGGAAACCGGAGUUAAUACCGGAUAAUAUAUUGAACCGCAUGGUUCAAUAGUGAAAGAUGGUUUUGUUGUCACUUAUAGAUGGAUCCGCGCUGCAUUAGCUAGUUGGUAAGGUAACGGCUUACCAAGGCAACGAUGCGUAGCCGACCUGGGAGGGUGAUCGGCGGCACUGGAACUUGGACGCGGUCCAGGCGCCUGCGGGAGGCAGCAGUAGGGAAUGUUACGCAAUGGGCGAGAACCUGACGGAGCGACGCCGCGUGAGUGAUGGAGGUGUUCGGAUCGUAAAGCUCUGUUAUUAGGGGAGAACAAAUGUGUAAGUGGCUGUGCACGUCUUGACGGUACCUAAUCAGAAAGCCACGGCUAACUACGUG
This 497-nucleotide ribosomal RNA is filed under the name uncultured bacterium. RNAcentral's name for it is "partial 16S ribosomal RNA". It matches the Rfam family "Bacterial small subunit ribosomal RNA", at positions 28 to 507 of the family's 1533-position model. The record is from RNAcentral.